Long non-coding RNA from Nicotiana tabacum (common tobacco), 1113 nucleotides. RefSeq lists it as uncharacterized. The record is from RefSeq and is a predicted model, not a curated record. NCBI's taxonomy places the organism in Eukaryota, Viridiplantae, Streptophyta, Magnoliopsida, Solanales, Solanaceae.
CAACAACUUCCCAAGUCUCAUUCUGGACUAGUGCCUCAAUCUCCUUCUGUAUUGCUUUUUGCCAUCCUGGGUGAUGAGCUGCUUGGCUGAAGAGCUGUUGGUUCCCUAUUUUCCCAUCUGUACUUGCUGAAGGAGUUGUAGGAUCUGGCUAAUAUUUUCUUGAGUAAGUGACUUGAUCCCCGCAGUCUGUACUGCAUUUUGUUCAGUGCUGAAAGCAUUGUUACCUUGAACUGACCCUUGGUAUUUUCUUUGAUUUGUGAACUUGAAAUCUGAGGGAAAUCCAACAAGCACGUAGCAUUAUUCCACAACAUGACCUGGCUUCUUGCAGUAUGAACAACAAUAAAUGAAGUUGAUUCUCCAGGAUAAACAGGAGAAAUAUGUAUUUCUCUUUAACCAUAGAGUAAGCUUGGCCAAGAGAAGGUAAGGAGGAAGUCAAUAGUAUGUUGAUUCUCACACCUAUGUAGGUGUCAUUCAGGCCCAUUAAAAAUUGCAGCAGUCUCUGGUCUUGGUGCAUUUUCAGAUUUUUUCUUUUAGCUCCACAUACACAUUCACAUGAACAAGUAAAAAAAUUGGUCAAGAUCUUUUGUACUGUAUGAGUACAGAACACUUUCUGUAAUUUCUUUUGAUAGAGAGUUAAGGAGCCAAGACAACACCAUGUCAUUUCCUCUAGCCCAAGCACUUUGAAGACUAGAGUUUUCAUCUGGAAUGGAAAAAGUUCCAUCUAUGAAACCUAGUUUAUUCUUGGCAGAAAGAGCUAUGACUACUGCUCUACGCCAAGCUCCAUAGCUUUUGCCAUCAAAAGUUGAGGAAACAAGAUUCAUGCUUGGGUAGUCUAAAGGAUGAAGAAAGAAAGAGUGUGUUGAAUCAAUCACACCUUUCUUGGUUGAAUCAGUUGUUGCAGCUACAACUUCUGUUGUUUCUCCCAUUAUAAGGAAUAGAGCAAACUUGAAAAAUGAAUAAGGGUUUCAAAUAUUAGGUUGGUCGACCUGCUCUUGAUACCAUGUAAAAAAUCGAAAAUUUUGAACCCAAUAUGAAUUAGUGUGUAUUGUCUUGAAAAAGAAAUAUAUGUACAAUGUAGCUAAUUUAUUCAAUUUACUCUAUGUAUUACUCCCA